RNAcentral lists this ribosomal RNA (244 nucleotides) under uncultured Actinomycetales bacterium. Its description in RNAcentral is "partial 16S ribosomal RNA". It matches the Rfam family "Bacterial small subunit ribosomal RNA", at positions 89 to 334 of the family's 1533-position model. The record is from RNAcentral. Lineage: Bacteria; Bacillati; Actinomycetota; Actinomycetes; Actinomycetales.
GCUCGAGUGGCGAACGGGUGAGUAACACGUGAGUAACCUGCCCUUGACUUUGGGAUAACUUCAGGAAACUGGGGCUAAUACCGGAUAGGAGCUCCUGCUGCAUGGUGGGGGUUGGAAAGUUUCGGCGGCUGGGGAUGGACUCGCGGCUUAUCAGCUUGUUGGUGGGGUAGUGGCUUACCAAGGCUUUGACGGGUAGCCGGCCUGAGAGGGUGACCGGCCACAUUGGGACUGAGAUACGGCCCAG